GAUGAACGCUAGCUACAGGCUUAACACAUGCAAGUCGAGGGGAAACGGCAUUAAGUGCUUGCACUUUUUGGACGUCGACCGGCGCACGGGUGAGUAACGCGUAUCCAACCUUCCCAUGACUAAGGGAUAACCUGCCGAAAGGCAGACUAAUACCUUAUGGUCUUCACUGACGGCAUCAGAUGUGAAGUAAAGAUUUAUCGGUUAUGGAUGGGGAUGCGUCUGGUUAGCUUGUUGGCGGGGUAACGGCCCACCAAGGCAACGAUCAGUAGGGGUUCUGAGAGGAAGGUCCCCCACAUUGGAACUGAGACACGGUCCAAACUCCUACGGGAGGCAGCAGUGAGGAAUAUUGGUCAAUGGGCGAGAGCCUGAACCAGCCAAGUAGCGUGCAGGAUGACGGCCCUAUGGGUUGUAAACUGCUUUUGUAUGGGGAUAAAGUCAGUCACGUGUGAUUGUUUGCAGGUACCAUACGAAUAAGGACCGGCUAAUUCCGUGCCAGCAGCCGCGGUAAUACGGAAGGUCCGGGCGUUAUCCGGAUUUAUUGGGUUUAAAGGGAGCGUAGGCUGGAGAUUAAGUGUGUUGUGAAAUGUAGACGCUCAACGUCUGACUUGCAGCGCAUACUGGUUUCCUUGAGUACGCACAACGUUGGCGGAAUUCGUCGUGUAGCGGUGAAAUGCUUAGAUAUGACGAAGAACUCCGAUUGCGAAGGCAGCUGACGGGAGCGCAACUGACGCUGAAGCUCGAAGGUGCGGGUAUCGAACAGG
RNAcentral lists this ribosomal RNA (761 nucleotides) under Prevotella melaninogenica. Its description in RNAcentral is "bacterial SSU rRNA". It matches the Rfam family "Bacterial small subunit ribosomal RNA", at positions 28 to 776 of the family's 1533-position model. The record is from RNAcentral. Lineage: Bacteria; Pseudomonadati; Bacteroidota; Bacteroidia; Bacteroidales; Prevotellaceae.